Molecule: long non-coding RNA, 376 nt
Organism: Oreochromis aureus
Lineage: Eukaryota; Metazoa; Chordata; Actinopteri; Cichliformes; Cichlidae
Source: Ensembl
UAAGAGCUGUUUCGUUCGCGGCCGACCCAUCACUACUGGUGUGAGACUAGAGGAGGGGCAACAAGCAGCUUCACUGAGAGUCCUGCUGUUCCUAUGUUGGUGGGAGAAAAUGUGACUCUGAGCUGCAGAAACAAGACAACUUCCUCCACCUUCAUCACUGAUUUCUACAAAGAUGGACUCCACAUCAGGAGCAUCUCCAGAGAAAUCAUGACCAUCCACAAAGUUUCAAAAUCUGAUGAAGGACUUUACAAGUGCAGGAUUUCAGGAGCUGGGGAAUCACCACAGAGCUGGCUGAAUGCCACAGGCAAUCACACAGGAACUGAGACAGACCCCUCCUCAGAGGCUGGAUGUCAUAUUUACCUCAUCUUACGGACCG